Cheilinus undulatus (humphead wrasse) is the source of this 1115-nucleotide long non-coding RNA. RefSeq lists it as uncharacterized. The transcript has 8 exons. Lineage: Eukaryota; Metazoa; Chordata; Actinopteri; Labriformes; Labridae. The record is from RefSeq and is a predicted model, not a curated record.
UCUGACCACCUCCCUUGAAGUUGUUCUUAUUGACUGUUCUGCAAAUGCUAAUUUCAUGAAUGUGGGAGCCAAAAAUAACACAAGUUACUUGAACUUUUUUUCUAGACAAUAAGUAAAAAAUGUUAUUUAAAUGAACUGCAAGGACUUGGGCUAAGUGUGGACCGGGAAAGUAGCUACUGCUGAUUCCAGCAGAGAAGAUGCUAAUUACUUUCAUGAUACAUGGCAGACAAAAAGGAGGACUAUAAGGAAAAACCGGCAAGGAGAGGACUGUCUGACUGGUCUGCGCUAAAACUAUUUGACUUCCAACUUGGAAUAAAGCACAACAACUUCACAGCCUGACCUCACCGCCCUGAGCGUGACAUUGGAGGAAAUAGGCCUCAUGGUCUGCCUGGAUCUUCUGGCGCUGAUUCCCUCCAAGGAUCCAGAGUCAUUUUCAAGAGCAGUCAUAUAUGUCAUAUUUUGAUCCACUGGAAAUGGACCUAUUCUGCCUGUACCAGGACAUGUUGAAUCACAACCAUGUGCUGGGAUGACAUCACUUUACAGCGUCAGCAGAAACUGUGGAUCCUGAGGGGCGCAUUAGCCUGCUGAUCUCCUCGCUGUACAGAGUCACAUCCAGACAGCCUGAACAGUUGGAGGUGGAGCCAAGAUCUGGGAGAGGAAAGCAGACAAAGAACAGCAUGUUUUCCAUGGAUCUUGUGAUCUCACGUCUCAAGCUACUAUGGGCUUCAUGGCGCUGCUCCAGACAUGCUUCCAGUGUGCAAGGUCGCUCACCUUCAGUCGGAGCAAAUCGCUGAACACCCGCAUUGCAGUGCAGCCUUCUUCAAAUGUAGCCCACAAAUGCAUCCUACUUUCCGAGGCCAUCAAAGGAUCCAUCUAGAGCUUCAUGCAUGGAGCAAACAUAUCCACAGAGUCAUCGCCCUCCAGUUUAUCAAGCAGAAGACAACUACACUUUUGAAUGGCUGGGUCGCAGAGCCAGCACUCAAAGCAAGAAAGCCCAGAUCUCCCUCUUCCCAGCUGCAUUUUCCAAUACCCUCUGGAGGUUCCUGAGGCAUUCCCAGACCAGGCCAAUCAAAGCAACAAAACACGUGAUGUAGCCGCUAUCGAGCUGCGUGUGC